CAACGAGUCGCAAGACCGCGAGGUUUAGCAAAUCUCUUAAAGCCGUUCUCAGUUCGGAUUGUAGGCUGCAACUCGCCUACAUGAAGUCGGAAUCGCUAGUAAUCGCGGAUCAGCAUGCCGCGGUGAAUACGUUCCCGGGCCUUGUACACACCGCCCGUCACACCAUGAGAGUUUGUAACACCCAAAGCCGGUGGGGUAACCUUUUGGAGCCAGCCGUCUAAGGUAGGACAGAUGAUUAGGGUGAAGUCGUAACAAGGUAUC
This 261-nucleotide ribosomal RNA is filed under the name uncultured bacterium. RNAcentral's name for it is "partial 16S ribosomal RNA". It matches the Rfam family "Bacterial small subunit ribosomal RNA", at positions 1240 to 1500 of the family's 1533-position model. The record is from RNAcentral.